RNAcentral lists this ribosomal RNA (1483 nucleotides) under metagenome. Its description in RNAcentral is "bacterial LSU rRNA". It matches the Rfam family "Bacterial large subunit ribosomal RNA", at positions 1434 to 2885 of the family's 2925-position model. The record is from RNAcentral.
UAUUCCUGUACCACGUUGAAUCCAUUAUGACCGAUGGGGGGACGGGGAAGGGUAAGGGAACCCAGGCGAUGGUUGUCCUGGGGCAAGUACGUAGCUAGUCGAAAUAGGUAAAUCCGUUUCGGCGUUAUGACGCGAGGUGCGAUGCCAGCUGGAUUUAGUUCCGGCCAGUCUCUGAGCCCAUGCCUCCAAGAAAAGCCUCUAGGCAGGAUUCAUGUGCCCGUACCGAUAACCGACACAGGUGGACAAGUAGAAGAUACUAAGGUGAGCGAGAUAACCCUCGUUAAGGAACUCGGCAAAAUCGCCCCGUAACUUCGGGAGAAGGGGCGCCCCGUUAGAGUGAAGUCCAUACGGAUGGAGCUCGAGGGGGCCGCAGUGAAUUGGUCCAAGCGACUGUUUACCAAAAACACAGGCCUCUGCUAAGUCGUAAGACGACGUAUAGGGGCUGACGCCUGCCCGGUGCUGGAAGGUUACGCGGACCUGUUAGCUCUUCGGAGCGAAGCAGUGAAGCUAAGCCCCAGUAAACGGCGGCCGUAACUAUAACGGUCCUAAGGUAGCGAAAUUCCUUGUCGGGUAAGUUCCGACCUGCACGAAUGGCGUAACGACUUGGACGCUGUCUCAACGAGGGACUCGGUGAAAUUGGAGUCUCGGUGAAGAUACCGAGUACCCGCAUCAAGACGGAAAGACCCCGUGAACCUUUACUGCAACUUGAUAUUGGAGUUUGGUGUGUUCUGUUCAGGAUAGGUGGGAGACUGUGAACCAGCGGCUGCGGCUGCUGGGGAGUCAACCUUGAGAUACCACCCUUGACAUACCGGGCUUCUAACACUGCGCCGUAAUCCGGGCAGUGAACAGUGUCAGGCGGGCAGUUUGACUGGGGCGGUCGCCUCCUAAAAUGUAACGGAGGCGCCCAAAGGUUCCCUCAGUACGGUUGGAAACCGUGCGUAGAGUGUAAAGGCAAUAAGGGAGCUUGACUGCGAGACCGACGGGUCGAGCAGGUACGAAAGUAGGGCUUAGUGAUCCGGCGGUUGCAAGUGGAAGCGCCGUCGCUCAACGGAUAAAAGGUACUCCGGGGAUAACAGGCUUAUCGCUUCCAAGAGUCCAUAUCGACGAAGCGGUUUGGCACCUCGAUGUCAGCUCGUCGCAUCCUGGGGCGGUAGUACGUCCCAAGGGUUGGGCUGUUCGCCCAUUAAAGCGGCACGCGAGCUGGGUUCAGAACGUCGUGAGACAGUUCGGUCCCUAUUUGAUGUGGGCGCUGGAGAAUUGAGAGGAUUUGUCCCUAGUACGAGAGGACCGGGAUGAACGAACCUCUGGUGUAGCUGUUGUCCUGCCAAGGGCAUCGCAGCUUAGCUACGUUCGGAACGGAUAACCGCUGAAGGCAUCUAAGCGGGAAGCCGUCCUCGAGAUGAAUUCUCCCAUCCCUUCGAGGGAGUAAGACCCCUGGUAGACCACCAGGUUGAUAGGCCAGCGGUGGAAGGGUAGUAAUACC